Long non-coding RNA from Gallus gallus (chicken), 544 nucleotides. Lineage: Eukaryota; Metazoa; Chordata; Aves; Galliformes; Phasianidae. The record is from Ensembl.
GGAGGUUGAAGUUGGUCGCACCCACACCUUUAUUCCUGAAGUGGUCAGUUGGUGCUGUGCCUGGCACCUGUCACGUGCAUGGCACCUGCUGGAGUGAGUGCCUUGCAGUGCACAACAGUGCAGAAGUGGUGUGUUAAAGCUCAGUGCAUUAGCUGUGAGCAAACAGAGUAGCUGAGUUGUCCUGCUGCUGGGAGACCUCUGCACUGUGUCUGUGAAAGAAGUGAAAUGGCCACUGACUGCUGAUGAUGACCAACUUCUUAUGUACUGGUUUGUCCCUUCUUUUCUGUUACUAUUAUUGCCUUAGGCCUUACCUGCACUGAGUGGCUUCAACAGAUGUUAUGCAGUGUUGUAAAUGAGCGUUUCAUUGCCUUCUCUACAAUGGCUGAGUGGGAGUUCAUUUACAGUGCACUGUAGGACGCCUCUCUGGAGUUGUGACAUCUUUAGGAUCAGUUCAGCCAGCCCUCUGCUCCCCAUCAAGCUUUGGUUCACAAACCUGAUGUGUGCGUAAAACUUGUGCAUCAGAUUCUCUAUAAAAGAAGAAAAU